Staphylococcus aureus subsp. aureus NCTC 8325 is the source of this 96-nucleotide small RNA. It matches the Rfam family "Staphylococcus sRNA sau-5971". The record is from Rfam. Lineage: Bacteria; Bacillati; Bacillota; Bacilli; Caryophanales; Staphylococcaceae.
GAGGAAAGAGACUUAUAGGUCUCGCGAGUUAUUUUAAUUCGUAUGCAAGAAAAAGAAGAGCUAUGCAUUUUAUUUAAAAUGCGUAGUUCUUUUUUU